AUCCCAGCAAACCUUGUAACGUGCAAGAAAGUACACCAUGUGCAAGAGAAACGACAAGAGCCCAAUUGUAACUCUAUCCACCCAGUUACGAAUCCUUCACAAAAAACCAAAUAAUGUUGUCCAAGUGGGUCCAUCUUAAGCUCUUGUCUAAAAAUUUUUAUCUAAUUUUCAGUGCUCUCCUCCUGCCAGUUUUUAUUUUUUUUGGCUAACAUCAAUG
This 217-nucleotide unclassified non-coding RNA is filed under the name Hevea brasiliensis (rubber tree). The record is from RNAcentral. Lineage: Eukaryota; Viridiplantae; Streptophyta; Magnoliopsida; Malpighiales; Euphorbiaceae.